UACGUAGGUGGCAAGCGUUGUUCGGAAUUACUGGGCGUAAAGGGUUUGUAGGUGGCCAACUAAGUCAGACGUGAAAUCCCUCAGCUUAACUGGGGAACUGCGUCUGAUACUGGUUGGCUUGAGUGCAGGAGAGGAACGCGGAAUUCCAGGUGUAGCGGUGAAAUGCGUAGAUAUCUGGAGGAACACCGGUGGCGAAGGCGGCGUUCUGGACUGCAACUGACACUGAGAAACGAAAGCCAGGGUAGCAAACGGG
This 253-nucleotide ribosomal RNA is filed under the name uncultured bacterium. RNAcentral's name for it is "partial 16S ribosomal RNA". It matches the Rfam family "Bacterial small subunit ribosomal RNA", at positions 524 to 776 of the family's 1533-position model. The record is from RNAcentral.